Molecule: long non-coding RNA, 559 nt
Organism: Homo sapiens (human)
Lineage: Eukaryota; Metazoa; Chordata; Mammalia; Primates; Hominidae
Source: Ensembl
GCUUUAUCUGCUGUGCCUUGUUUCUCCCCGGCCCUAGGCGGAAGGUGCUCUACCAGCGUGCACCCAGGAAUAUCCACCGCCAUGUGAUCCUCUCUGAGAUCAAGGAAGCCGUCGCUGCCCUGCCCCCGGCUAAGUCCUAUCAGCCAUGGAAACACCAUUGCUCUCUUCUUCCGGUCACUGUUGCCAAACUAUACCAUGGAGCACAGACGCAGUCUUCAGCAAGGAAGUGCUGGGAACGCCCUGGAGUGAACCCAGGAAGAUGCCUGCAGUGGGUGCCAGGGCCCCUCUCCACCGUCCCUGCUGGGCUUCGGGGCCACGCCCGACUGCUGUGAACGGCCUGCGGAGCACCACGUGCGACGGCUGGAGGCGAGAGGUCUGCCUUUGAUGUGGCUGUUGGUGCAGGGCCUGUGGUGCCUUCCGCAGCGGAAAUGGCGCGCCGCCCGGGGAGGGCGGGAGCAGCGUCCCGGGUGCCCCUGUGAGGAUGAGCGACGAGAUGACUGGAGGGUCCCUGAAGACCUCACUAGGGUGCCCCCAGCCGGUCCGCUCCCAGGAAGCGACA